ACCAGCUUGCACAGGCGAUGCAGCAGGUAGAAGCGGCUGGUAGGGGAGUGCUGGUGUACCUCGGAGGGCAUAAAGGAAGAGGCAUAGGUUUGGGGCACAAACUACGUGCCUGUAACCUGCAGGACAAUGGGCGCGACACCAUGGAAGCAAAUGUGGAGCUCGGGUUGCCAGUUGACUCUAGAGAAUGUUGCGUGACCUCGGAGUCAGGACGAUGAAGCUGAUGAUGAACAAUCCGUCAAAGUAUGUGGGGCUUAAAGGUUACGGCUUGGCUAUUGCUGGGAGAGUCCCUCUAGUAACUCCAAUGACAGAGGAGAACAAGAGAUACUUGGAGACAAAACGCUCCAAGAUGGGGCACAUCUAUGGUGCAGAAGUCAAUGGCCGCUUCAGCAAUCUCAUAAGCAAAAACGGCAAGCCGAGUAGUACUGUUUCUUCUGAUCUGGCCGUGUUCGACUCAUAGGAGCUGCUGGAUAGUUCGACUGCUGAUGAUUUCUUUGGGGGGAUUCAAGCAAGUUAACUGACAGAUGGUAUUAUGACUUUAUUUUUUAAGCCCUAAGGUCAAGAACAUCGGGAUGCCUGCCGACCAUGAGUUCUGAAAAUUUUAGGGCGAUUCAGGUUUAUAAUUGUUAUAAUAUUCAUAAUUGUUCUCUUGAUGUCAUUCAUCCAUUUUGUAAGGCGAAAUGGGGAAAGACUAGCCUCUUAUUG
Long non-coding RNA from Rhodamnia argentea, 702 nucleotides. RefSeq lists it as uncharacterized. The transcript has 2 exons. NCBI's taxonomy places the organism in Eukaryota, Viridiplantae, Streptophyta, Magnoliopsida, Myrtales, Myrtaceae. The record is from RefSeq and is a predicted model, not a curated record.